ACAAGCGGUGGAGUAUGUGGUUUAAUUCGAAGCAACGCGCAGAACCUUACCAGCCCUUGACAUACCGGUCGCGGACACAGAGAUGUGUCUUUCAGUUCGGCUGGACCGGAUACAGGUGCUGCAUGGCUGUCGUCAGCUCGUGUCGUGAGAUGUUGGGUUAAGUCCCGCAACGAGCGCAACCCUCGCCCUUAGUUGCCAGCAGUUCGGCUGGGCACUCUAAAGGGACUGCCGGUGUUAAACCGGAGGAAGGUGGGGAUGACGUCAAGUCCUCAUGGCCUUUAUGACCAGGGCUACACACGUACUACAAUGGCCGAUACAAAGGGCAGCGACACUGCGAGGUGAAGCCAAUCCCGUAAAAUCGGUCUCAGUCCGGAUUGGAGUCUGCAACUCGACUCCAUGAAGUUGGAAUCGCUAGUAAUCGUGGAUCAGCAUGCCACGGUGAAUACGUUCCCGGGCCUU
Molecule: ribosomal RNA, 459 nt
Filed under: uncultured Desulfobulbus sp.
Lineage: Bacteria; Pseudomonadati; Thermodesulfobacteriota; Desulfobulbia; Desulfobulbales; Desulfobulbaceae
Description: bacterial SSU rRNA
Rfam family: Bacterial small subunit ribosomal RNA
Source: RNAcentral